GAAUUUGGCGCCCUGCACUUUCAAUGGAUAUUGGUCAGGAGGGACGGUAGCGUCCCAUCUAGCCUAGAGUUAACACUCUGUCUGUCCAUCGGCAGUGAGCUGUCCCACAGUGCCAUAACGGUCCACAUGUUUAGCACACUCCUGCUGAGGCCUGGAGACUGGUGAUAGAUUAGCUCAGGCGGCUUUAUUCCAUGCUUAGUCCUCAGUUUGAACCAGGAUGACAUGAAUCAAGGGGCUGAAUUACAUUCUCAGUCCUCAGUUUGAACCAGGAUGACAUGAAUCAAGGGGCUGAAUUCCAUUCUCAGUCCUCAGGAUGAACCAGGAUGAUAUGAAUCAGGGGGCUGAAUUCCAUUCUCAGUCCUCAGGUUGAACCAGGAUGAUAUGAAUCAGGGGGCUGAUUUCAAGGCUGUUUAUCCCAAGGUGCUCUUUAGAACUGGAGUUGGAGAGCUCCGUAGUUAAGUUACACCCCGACAGCUUUACUCAACAACGUGGCAGUCUGUUGCUUGUGAGAGCUAAGACAUUAGGAUGAUAUAUUGUAC
Molecule: long non-coding RNA, 539 nt
Filed under: Salmo salar (Atlantic salmon)
Lineage: Eukaryota; Metazoa; Chordata; Actinopteri; Salmoniformes; Salmonidae
Description: lncRNA (ENSSSAG00000119691.1)
Source: RNAcentral